This 235-nucleotide ribosomal RNA is filed under the name uncultured bacterium. RNAcentral describes it as "partial 16S ribosomal RNA". It matches the Rfam family "Bacterial small subunit ribosomal RNA", at positions 1264 to 1500 of the family's 1533-position model. The record is from RNAcentral.
GGAGCAAAUCCCUAAAAGCCAUCCCAGUUCGGAUCGCAGCUGCAACCCGCCUGCGUGAAGUUGGAAUCGCUAGUAAUCGCGGAUCAGCAUGCCGCGGUGAAUACGUUCCCGGGCCUUGUACACACCGCCCGUCACACCAUGAGAGUCGGGGACACCCGAAGUCCGUAGCCUAACCGCAAGGGGGGCGCGGCCGAAGGUGGGUUCGAUAAUUGGGGUGAAGUCGUAACAAGGUAAC